This 817-nucleotide unclassified non-coding RNA is filed under the name Hevea brasiliensis (rubber tree). The record is from RNAcentral. Lineage: Eukaryota; Viridiplantae; Streptophyta; Magnoliopsida; Malpighiales; Euphorbiaceae.
GGAAAAAGAAAAAGCCCCAGAAGGUGAGUAUUCACUAUACUUUUGUGCAAGUACAUGCAUAAAUGAUAAAAAGGGAGUGCCAUGUGAUUUAUGAGUUUUAAGAACUUACACAUCUCUGACGAGAGGCCUUCUAUAUAUGAGACUUUGGCUUGGUUGAGUCCUGUUCUUUUCUUUCAUAGAUUUUCCUUUUUUCCCUAUUCUUUUGGGUUGUUGCAACAAGUUAAAAAGAAGAUGUACAAGUUUUUAUGCAUGUUGUCAAUAAUGGGUAGGGGUGAAACUAGAUGUAUUUUAUCCGAUAUAUUUUAUCCAAUGCAAUCAGGACUGGACAUACGUUUGGUUCUUGCUAUCUUUACCUUAUCCUACCUCUCCUUUUCUUAUUCUUUUACUUGUAGUCUUCCUUUUAAUAUCAGAACUCUUCUCCAUUCCAGCAUAGUGGCUAAGGUUAGUUUUUCUGAUUUCCUUGUAUGCUUGUGCAUGUGAUUUUUAUGCUGGACAAACCAUGAAAGCUGUUUAGGAAUAAUUUGGACAUUUUCCGUUUAGUGCCGAUGAGAUGUUAACUGAUUUAAUUGAUAAGUGGGGUAUGAUUUGGAUAGAUGAUUAUGUUGGCUGUCAAGGUAUAACUUUUUAGAAGUGAUGUAACACUGAGUGGAAGUAGGUCUUGGUGGAAAUUCCUGACAUGCUAAUUGUUGUUUUAGAUUUAUAAGUCUCUGUUUUUGAGCUUUUCCCUAGUCCUGGUUUGCGAAUGUCUUCUUGCCUUGGAUUGCAGUAGUCUAGCUUGAUACUGGGGCUAAAUUUGCUGGUUGACACAGGAAUAUGU